RNA transcript from Platichthys flesus (European flounder), 4852 nucleotides. It is a transcript of the gene named FA complementation group D2, with no coding region annotated. NCBI's taxonomy places the organism in Eukaryota, Metazoa, Chordata, Actinopteri, Pleuronectiformes, Pleuronectidae. The transcript has 46 exons. The record is from RefSeq and is a predicted model, not a curated record.
AACUGGUGUCUCUGUGGAGGAAACUUCUGAACAGUACGUGACACUUUGAAUCAUUCUGAAUGAAUGUGACAGCUGACAACAUUAUAUCUGGAUAACGUAACAAUAACGUGAGAUGAUGCGGAAAAAACGACGCUCCUCCGUGGAUAAAGUGGUGGAAGGAGCCAAUACUACUACUAAUAGUAUUACUAAGGCAAAGAAGAGUCGAACCACUGGUCGCCCUCCUAAAGAAUCUGUUCCAGUCGAUACAAAUCAAAGCGUAUUUACCAAAUUUUUGAGAGAGGCGGGUGUCACCGUGAAGCGCGGUGCCACAUCCAACGAGAUUGCUGUCGACCAAGUAGUUUUCCAAAAAAGGAUUGAACAGCAACUAAGGAAGAAUCCUAAUUACCCCGGAAUCAUACAGGAAUUCAUCACAGGAUUAGAGUCUCACAUUGAGGACCCUGACAAUUUCAGGAAUUGCCUCCUUCCAUGUGUUCCACAGUUGUCAGAUGGAGAUGGCAGUUCAGUCAGCUCAUUCCAGGAAAGUCUCCUACGCAUGGUGUUGGGGAUUGACAUUCUGCAGACUUCCACCAUUAACACCUUGCUUGAGAAACUCCCUGAAUUUAUGUUGGAUGGCACUGGAGACGCAGGAGUCAGUGUUCCACGCAUCAUUAUUAACCAGCUCAAAUGGCUCGACAGAGUCGUUGACAGCAAGGAGUUGGCAGCUAAGCUCAUGGAGCUGGUGUCAGUUGCACCGGUGGACGUUCAACGAGACAUCAUCACCAGCCUGCCAGAGAUACUUGAAGAUUCCCAGCACAAUGACAUAGCCAGGGAGCUCAACUCCUUACUCCAGACGAACACUCAGCUGACUGUCCCCAUCCUGGAUGCUCUCUCUAGUCUUAACCUCAGUUCCUCGCUGCUGACUGAGGUUCGUGGAGCAGUCAUGACCACCCUGGCCGCCGUGCAACUGGAAGACCUACCUGUGGUCGUCAAGUUCAUCCUGCACUCUGUCUCCGUAUCGGAUGCAUGUGAGGUAGUGAAUCAUCUUCGUAAGAAGCUGGAGCUGGAGCAGUGCGUUCUCCCUCCUGUGCUGCAGUUGUCUCAGAGCCGCACGAGGAGCGACGGAGCAGCAGCGGUGGCUUCAACUGCUGGGAGCAGUGUUGCGCUGAUAUUGGACGGCAUUAAGUCCGCAGUGAGAUUCCAGAAAACUAUUUCUGAGGCUUGGCUCAAGGCAAUAGAUUCUGUGGAUGAAUCAGAGAAUCAUAAGGUAAUUGAUCUGCUGGUGCUGUUCAUCCUCCACUCCACCAACGCCAACCAGAGCCGACGGGGGGCGGAAAGGGUGCUGAAGUCUAAAGUGAGGACCGGACUGAUCCAGGAGGCUCUGCUGCAGAAGACCUUCAGGGACCAUUCUCAGGUCAUGCGAGGGUAUUUCCCCUCAAUCCUGGCUCUGACUCAGUGUCUGUUACGCUCUCCUGACCCGUGUGUGGUGCCUUUUGGGGGACACAUGUACCAGCUCUCUUUCACAGAGUUUGACUCUUACUGCCAACAGGAGGUGGUGGGCUCUCUAGUGACCCAUGUCUGCAGUGGUGUGGGUGGGGAGGUGGACAUGGCUCUGGAGCUACUCUGUGGUCUGGUCACAGAGAAACCCUCGGAAAUGGCUCUGUAUGCUGUCUUUGUUAAGGGGAUUUUGGACUACAUGGACAACCUCACACCCCAGCAGAUCCGCAGACUCUUCCACCUCUUGAGCAGACUGGCUUUUGGGCAGCAGCAGCAAGGAUCUCACAUCCAGGAUGACAUGCACAUCGUGAUCCGUAAACAGCUCUCCAGCACGGUGCCCAAGUACAAGCGUAUUGGCAUCAUCGGGGCGGUCAUGAUCGUAGGCAGCAUGGGGGCCUUAAAGCCUAAAGGGAAGGAAGUGAAGGAUCAGCCGUUACCUCAGGAGACAUUCAGACAGGUGACAGCCCUGUUGGAGCUGGUGAGGUCGAGCAGUGAUAGCUCACCUGAGGCUGCAGCACUGUACUACGAUGAACUGGCCAAUCUCAUCCUGAGCUCUACCCUGGACCCUCAGGUUCAGGAGAACAUCGCAAAGAGUGUUCUUGAUGACUUUCAGGAUGACUUUGUGGUGGAUCUGGGGAAGGAAAUAACAGGUUCCUUCCCUUUCCCGGCUCGUCUGAUGUACAACCUGGAGGAGGAGGAGAGUCAGGAAGGCAUCGCAAUCAACCUGCUCCCUCUACUGGCCAAAGACAUUCACAACAACCGUGAGCAGCUGAGUCAAACCAAGAGGGCAAACAAGCGAGUGUCUCCUCUCUGUCUGUCUCCUUUUUUUCGCCUCCUGAGACUGUGUGAGGAGAAACAGCAUAACGGAGACCUAGAGGAGAUUGAUGCUCUGCUUGGCUGCCCUCUGGUCAUAACAGGCUUGGAUGUAGUCGAGAAAAUCAACAGCCUGUCUAAGGCUGAGAGGGAGUUCCUCUGUAAUUUACUCUUUUUCACCAUCAACUGGUUUAGAGAGGUCAUAAAUGCGUUUUGUAGACUAAAAGAAACUGAGAUGAAGAUGAAAGUGAUGACUCGUCUGCAGAAUAUCACUUACCUUCAGACACUUUUGGAGAGGGCUUUGGCCGGAACAUCUGGCUAUGUUCCACCUGUUGCUAACUUUGAUGGAGAAACCUCAGAUGCAGCAACAUUUACUCCCACUGCUGCUCCUGGUAAUAAGGCAAAGAAAGAUGGUACAGGAAAGAAGAAGAGGAAGGCUCCUAGUAAGAGUUCCUCAGAAAACAGCUCACUGCUCGAGGAGCCGACUGAAGCAAAUGAAACUCAGCAGGAGCAGCCAGAGAAGGAGAAGGAAAAGGAAAAGGAGAAGGAGAAGGAAACCUGGCAAGGAGUCAGUCUGGUGUCCUACAGACAGUUUUUCAGGGAGCUGGACAUGGAGGUGCUCAGUGUGCUGCAGUGUGGCCUGUUGUCUCGCUCACUGUUGGACUCUGAGCUCCAAACCAAAGUGCAAGAGGAGGUCCUGCUGGGUCCUGCAGAGCUGGUCUUCCUGCUGGAGGAUAUGCUUCGCAAAGUGGAGUUCAGUCUUACCUCUGCCCCUGUGAAGAGAAUGCCUUUCUUCAAGACACGGACGGAUAAAAGUGUGGGCUUCUCCCAUCUGCAGCAGAGGAGCGCUAAAGAUAUCGCCGCCUGCUGUGUCGAGCUGUUGCCGGCCCUCUGCUCACACUUAGAGAACUGUCACAACCAUUUUCAGACACUGCUUUCUGAGAACAACGGUGUUGUGGAUGGACCUGCCACAGAUGUGCAGGAGCAGCAGCUGAUGUCAUCGUGUUACCAGCUGCUCCUGCAGGUCCUGAACACCACCUUCAGCUGGUCUGGAUUCAGUUUGCCAGGCCAGCGAGGUUUACUGAAGAAAGCUCUGGGAGUUUUGGCCGAACGACUCAAGGGACGUUCUGAGCUGACCCUGGAGCAGCUUGUUAAACACAGCUUUGAAUACCUGCUGAACUUCGGCAGCACGAUGCCAAGUCUCAGCACAGCUCUGUGUCUCUCCCAGCUUCUGUCCACUGUGUCUCAGAAGGGAGGGAACCCUUCGGCCUACAGAGAGCAAACUGCUUCCCUAGCAAAACGUUUCCUGAGCCAAGACUGGGUGACAGCCAGCGGAGAGAAAGAGCGUGGGACCAAAUUCAAUGAAGCACUUCACACUCUCCUAAGAAUCUACCUGGAUAAUGUUGAUGAUGUUCUGAAGGCAGUGGAGGAGAUAGCAGGGGAAAGAAUCCCUGAGCUCCUCAAUGCAUCGAAGAAUGAAAGCUCUCCGACAUGGCCGACUCUCAACAGGCAAACAUUCCUAGUUUUCUACAAAGUGAUGAUGGGAGAACUAGAAAAAGCUGCGAGGAAGAUUCCUGCGAGCAAAAUCAGUGACGACACCGAGGCUCAGAGCGAGAAGCUGCUGACAUGGAACCUGGCUGUCAGAGACUUUCACGUCCUGGUCAACCUAGUUAAAGUCUUUGAUUCAAGGCCAGUGCUGAACGUGUGCCUGAAGUAUGGCCGCCUUUUCUUGGAGUCCUUCCUGAAGUUGGGAAUGCCGCUGCUGGACCACAGUUUCAAAAGGCACAAGGAGGACGUCCAGAGUCUGCUGAAGACGUUCCAGCUCAGCACCAGGCAGCUCCAUCACAUGUGUGGAUACUCUAAGAUUCACCAGGAUACCAGCCUGACCAACCACGUGCCGGCCUUGAAGAAGAGCCUGGAGCUGUUUGUGUACAGAGUGAAGGCCACGCUCACGCUCAACAACUGCCAGGAGGCUUUUUGGAUUGGCAACCUGAAGAACCGCAACCUGAAGGGUGAAGAGAUUCUUUCUCAGAGGUCACAAGGAAGUGAUGAUGAUGAAGAGGAGGAGCGUUCAGUGCUUCCUCAGGAAAUGUCAGAGGAUGAGGGCCAAGAGAGCAACUCGGAGGAACCCAUGGUGAUAAAUGGAGAGGGAAAUGUGGCUGAAGAAGAUAUCACAGAUGACUCUGAGUAACACUAAACGCAAAGUACACAAUAAAUGUACCUCCACAUGUUUCCUUUUCUGGGCAAAAUGUAGCAACUGAAAAAAGAGCACAGCACCAGGACUCAACACUGAGACCUUUGUUCCCGGCAAAUCCCAUAAAGAGGGACAGCAGCGAUUAGUGUAAGCUCCAAAUGAAGGAAAACAGCCUCUUUGAUACUCUGAGGUCCUCGGGGCUCAUUUGUAAACAUGUCGGAGCAGAACUUGGAAGAUGAUUCACCCCUACACAAAACUCAGGAUUUAUAGAAGAAAGUUUUAUGGCAGAGUAAACAUUCUUCUAUGAAUCACAUCUGUAAAAUCUAAACUGUGUAAAAGCAGCGAGGUUUGCAUGGCAUUGAUAUUAAACAG